This is a long non-coding RNA of Ictalurus punctatus (channel catfish), 349 nucleotides long. The record is from Ensembl. Lineage: Eukaryota; Metazoa; Chordata; Actinopteri; Siluriformes; Ictaluridae.
AUUACUACACUCAGGUUACUACACUCAGGUUACUACACUCGGAUUACUACACUCGGAUUACUACACUCAGAUUACUACACUCAGAUUACUACACUCAGGUUACUACACUCAGAUUACUACACUCAGAUUACUACACUCGGGUUAGUACACUCGGAUUACUACACUCGGAUUACUACACUCGGAUUACUACACUCGGAUUACUACACCGGGUUACUACACUCGGGUUACUACACUCGGAUUACUACACUCGGAUUACUACACUCAGGUUAGUACACUCAGAUUACUACACUCAGAUUACUACACUCAGAUUAAUACACUCAGAUUACUACACUCGGGUUACUACACUCAG